AUUGAACGCUGGCGGCAUGCCUUACACAUGCAAGUCGAACGGUAACGGGCCUUCGGGUGCCGACGAGUGGCGAACGGGUGAGUAAUACAUCGGAACGUGCCCGAUCGUGGGGGAUAACGAGGCGAAAGCUUUGCUAAUACCGCAUACGAUCUACGGAUGAAAGCAGGGGACCGCAAGGCCUUGCGCGGACGGAGCGGCCGAUGGCAGAUUAGGUAGUUGGUGGGAUAAAAGCUUACCAAGCCGACGAUCUGUAGCUGGUCUGAGAGGAUGAUCAGCCACACUGGGACUGAGACACGGCCCAGACUCCUACGGGAGGCAGCAGUGGGGAAUUUUGGACAAUGGGCGCAAGCCUCAUCCAGCCAUGCCGCGUGCAGGAUGAAGGCCUUCGGGUUGUAAACUGCUUUUGUACGGAACGAAAAGCCUUCUUUUAAUACAGGAGGGUCAUGACGGUACCGUAAGAAUAAGCACCGGCUAACUACGU
This 481-nucleotide ribosomal RNA is filed under the name uncultured bacterium. RNAcentral's name for it is "partial 16S ribosomal RNA". It matches the Rfam family "Bacterial small subunit ribosomal RNA", at positions 30 to 506 of the family's 1533-position model. The record is from RNAcentral.